This 241-nucleotide ribosomal RNA is filed under the name uncultured Actinomycetales bacterium. RNAcentral describes it as "partial 16S ribosomal RNA". It matches the Rfam family "Bacterial small subunit ribosomal RNA", at positions 89 to 334 of the family's 1533-position model. The record is from RNAcentral. Lineage: Bacteria; Bacillati; Actinomycetota; Actinomycetes; Actinomycetales.
ACUCGAGUGGCGAACGGGUGAGUAACACGUGGGUGAUCUGCCCUGCACUUCGGGAUAAGCCUGGGAAACUGGGUCUAAUACCGGAUAGGAGCCAUUUUUAGUGUGAUGGUUGGAAAGUUUUUCGGUGUAGGAUGAGCUCUCGGCCUAUCAGCUUGUUGGUGGGGUAAUGGCCUACCAAGGCGGCGACGGGUAGCCGGCCUGAGAGGGUGGACGGCCACAUUGGGACUGAGAUACGGCCCAG